CCUACGGGAGGCAGCAGUGAGGAAUAUUGGUCAAUGGGCGAGAGCCUGAACCAGCCAAGUCGCGUGAAGGAUGACUGUCUUAUGGAUUGUAAACUUCUUUUGUAGGGGAAUAAAGAGGGGCACGUGUGCCUCAGUGAAUGUACCCUACGAAUAAGCAUCGGCUAACUCCGUGUCAGCAGCCGCGGUAAUACGGAGGAUGCGAGCGUUAUCCGGAUUUAUUGGGUUUAAAGGGUGCGUAGGCGGCCUGUUAAGUCAGCGGUGAAAUCUAGGAGCUUAACUCCUAAAUUGCCAUUGAUACUGGCGGGCUUGAGUGUAGAUGAGGUAGGCGGAAUGCGUGGUGUAGCGGUGGAAUGCAUAGAUAUCACGCAGAACUCCGAUUGCGAAGGCAGCUUACUAAGGUACAACUGACGCUGAAGCACGAAAGCGUGGGGAGCAAACAGGAUUAGAUACCCUUGUAGUC
This 460-nucleotide ribosomal RNA is filed under the name uncultured Porphyromonas sp. RNAcentral's name for it is "bacterial SSU rRNA". It matches the Rfam family "Bacterial small subunit ribosomal RNA", at positions 338 to 795 of the family's 1533-position model. The record is from RNAcentral. Lineage: Bacteria; Pseudomonadati; Bacteroidota; Bacteroidia; Bacteroidales; Porphyromonadaceae.